Vicia villosa (hairy vetch) is the source of this 1103-nucleotide long non-coding RNA. RefSeq lists it as uncharacterized. The record is from RefSeq and is a predicted model, not a curated record. Lineage: Eukaryota; Viridiplantae; Streptophyta; Magnoliopsida; Fabales; Fabaceae. The transcript has 5 exons.
CGCUCAACCAAUCUCUCUUAGUUUCACGGCAGCCAUGGGUGAACAGGAAGUUAUUUUAAAGAUGAUACACAAGAACAACAAAAGCUAACAACAACAACUAACAACAAAUUUAAGGAUAAAUUUAAGGAUGAGAGUGUAGUCGGACUUACCUACGGCAAGGAGGUCUUUGCCGGAUUUGUUGAGUGGCCAUGGGAUCUUAUCUCGACAAGAAGAACUUACCGUAUAACCCGGUUUCUUUCACAAACAGAGGGAAAUAUGUUCAUGGUAACAACAAUAUUGAGAGUAAGAGUGAAAUUAGCUUACCUACGGCGAGGAGGUUUUCGCCGGAUUAUUGUUGAAGGCUUUUGAUGAAGAUGGCCACCACCUCUUUGGAUGUUAGGGAGACUUGAAGAUGGACUUCAAGUUGGAACUCUCCACCAAGGUAUGAAGAAUUUCUUCUUCACUCUCUUCAAACCAUGGAACUUUGUAACUAGGAAUUCUCACUUCUCAAGUGGUUUUCUUUGGUUUGAAGAAUUGCUUCUUCUUGCCAAGAAACUUGAAAACUAUGAGAGAAAAGAGAGAAGUGAGAAAGCUAGUAGUAUAGUAGCUUUGGUGUGAUUUUCUUCAAUGAGAGAACUUCCUAUUUAUAGGCAAAGUUAAGGGAGUGUUUGGCAAUUGGUAAUCUUGAUUGGCAAGUUUCAAUCAUUGCAAGAUAAGAAAAAGAAUAUAUUCUUCAUCAUUGCAAGAAUAAAAAAUAAGAAUAAGAAUAUUCUUAUGCAAAGAUAUUUUUCAUGAUAUAAGCCAUGUGUGUAAAUUUUUAUGUCAUUUUAUGAUAUCUCUAAGUUGCAUAAUUUUAUGACAUAAAAAUCUCUCUUUGGCUUUCUUUGACUUUUGCUAAUUUCACCCCUCUUUUUGUUUCUUUUUUUUCAUGUUGCAUGAGGACCUUGAAGAAAAGCAUGAAGAAAUUUGAUCUUGAAGAAUGAAGACUUGAAGAAUUCAAGAAUUGCAUUUGAAGUUUUAUUUUUUUCUUUUCCUUGUAAUUCCAACUUUGUAUGAAUGAAACUUUGUAUUCUUGCAAAUGAAUGGAAUUUUGUAAUUCUUGAAUUUUGGAUAAAGUCCACUUG